Molecule: ribosomal RNA, 492 nt
Filed under: uncultured bacterium
Lineage: Bacteria
Description: partial 16S ribosomal RNA
Rfam family: Bacterial small subunit ribosomal RNA
Source: RNAcentral
AGUGAACGCUGGCGGUAGGCCUAACACAUGCAAGUCGAACGGCAGCACAGUAAGAUCUUGCUCUUACGGGUGGCGAGUGGCGGACGAGUGAGGAAUACAUCGGAAUCUACUUUUUCGUGGGGGAUAACGUAGGGAAACUUACGCUAAUACCGCAUACGACCUACGGGUGAAAGCAGGGGAUCUUCGGACCUUGCGCGAUUGAAUGAGCCGAUGUCGGAUUAGCUAGUUGGCGGGGUAAAGGCCCACCAAGGCGACGAUCCGUAGCUGGUCUGAGAGGAUGAUCAGCCACACUGGAACUGAGACACGGUCCAGACUCCUACGGGAGGCAGCAGUGGGGAAUAUUGGACAAUGGGCGCAAGCCUGAUCCAGCCAUACCGCGUGGGUGAAGAAGGCCUUCGGGUUGUAAAGCCCUUUUGUUGGGAAAGAAAAGCAGCAGGUUAAUACCCCGCUGUUCUGACGGUACCCAAAGAAUAAGCACCGGCUAACUUCGUG